Theobroma umbraticum is the source of this 2516-nucleotide non-coding RNA. Lineage: Eukaryota; Viridiplantae; Streptophyta; Magnoliopsida; Malvales; Malvaceae. The record is from RefSeq and is a predicted model, not a curated record.
CCUUUCUUGAAGUGGAUUUUGGCAGUUGACUGGAGAGGAAAAAAAUGGCUGAGACAAACUGUUUAGCGGUGGUGGGAAGUGGCCAAAUGGGUUCAGGCAUAGCUCAGCUUGGUGCCAUGAAUGGUCUCCACGUUUGGCUCCUUGAUACUGACCCUGUUGCGCUUUCCAGAGCCUCCAAAGUCAUCUCUUCUUCCCUUCAACGCUUUGUUUCCAAAGGUCAACUCUCCCAGGCUGCUAGUACUGAUGCUUUAAGACAUCUGCAAUUUACUUCAAAUUUGGAAGAACUGCGAUCAGCAGAUUUUAUUAUUGAAGCAAUUAUAGAAUCUGAAGAUGUGAAGAAAACGUUGUUUCUUGAACUAGAUAAGAUUGCAAAGAGUUCUGCCAUUUUAGCAUCAAAUACAAGUUCCAUCUCCAUUACUCGAUUAGCAUCUACAACCAGCAGACCGCACCAGGUGAUUGGGAUGCAUUUUAUGAAUCCUCCUCCUAUAAUGAAGUUGGUUGAGAUUGUGCGAGGUGCAGACACAUCAGAUGAGACAUUUCAUGCAACAAAAGCCUUGGCAGAGAGGUUUGGUAAGACAAUAAUAUGCUCUCAGGACUAUUCUGGCUUUAUUGUGAACCGGAUCCUGAUGCCAAUGAUAAAUGAAGCAUUUUUCACACUCUAUACUGGGGUGGCAACCAAGGAAGAUAUUGAUACAGGAAUGAAGUUGGGAACAAACCAUCCAAUGGGUCCCUUGGAGCUUGCAGAUUUCAUAGGAUUGGACGUGUGUUUAUCCAUAAUGAAAGUUCUAUAUACUGGUCUAGGUGACAGUAAAUAUGCCCCUUGUCCCCUUCUUGUGCAGUAUGUUGAUGCAGGUCGCCUUGGGAGAAAACGUGGUAUUGGGGUGUAUGACUACCGUAAGCUGCCUGAACCUAUAAAACCAUCUCCUCGACUCUGAACAUUUAUUAUUUCCUGAAUAAUGAAUAACAAAAAUAGUGCCUAAAGCUCAUAAGUCGUAUCUUUGAGUUCAAAUGUGGCAAUACAGAGUCCUGCAAUCAAGUGUUGUAUAAGUAUGUACCUUCAUCCGUGACUUCACAACCACAAUAUUGACACAUCAAUAUUGCACCCUAGAUUACUGAGAUGAGGUUACCAGUUACCAUUUUCAUUUAUUCCCUUUAUCUCUUAGUACAAUAUUGUUGGGGAACGAGAUGGGGAUUCUUCAGUUGGGAAGCAUGUGCUUUGGAAAAAUAACAUGGGGGGUGGGGUACAGGUGCAAUGAAGGGCAAACAUGCCCAAAUUCCAGGUAAGAAAGUUCCAUAACAAAAAUGUUAAAUUCCCUUGUCAGCUACAUUUGCCAUUUUUUGUUCGUAUCUUUUAAGGAAUUCAUAUCUAAUACAAUGCCUAACUAUUUUUCUCUCAUGACUAUGGGUACAUGGAUAUGAGUUCGAAUGCAACUAGUUCAUUCAAAUAAUGGUAGCAAUUGGGAUUACUCUCAGAUCACUAGUGGCUGCUGCUCUGUUUGGGCAAGCAUUAAUUGGUUGUAUAAAAUGAGGGAAUCCCUUUUCAUGCUUUUUAACAACAGAGAUAUUGGGUAGUACUUUUAUUGGCUAAUGUUGUUAUUGACAAGUUUCUCAAUUUCAACCUCAUGGUAAUAAUUUAAACGUAUGCAGCAUAUUGCUUGCCAGCUUAGGAAUCUUUAGUGUGACGCAAGGAAAUUAAAAGGAGGCCCUCCUUUUUGUAACAGAUCAUGGCCAAGCUUGACCCACAGGAUAGGAGCCUUGUUAGGAGUAUGAACUUCAAUGUUGAUCAUGGGGUAGACCCACAACCCUGGGCCACCUUUCAUACCCCUAACCCUAAAGUUGGAAUUAUUAGGCAGCAUCUUCUUUAUUGAAAGUGAUUGAAGUGGAAUCCAAUGGGGUAAUUGCAAAAUGUUGGAAAAUAUGAACAACAUUAUAAGUCAGGAAACAAGAUAGAAAAAGCUUAAACUUUCUUUCAUCUCUCUUUACAUAAGAUUUUUAGGGCAUUUGGAAACCAAGCAAAGCCCCAAAAAAAAAAAAAAGGGAAAAAAGCCAAGCCAUGAAGUUCUUGUUUCAGUGUCCUUGCUGCUCUUGUUUCUGCUUCAUGAAGCCCAAGAAAGGGAAACCAAAGGUGAAGGAUGCCAAGGAAGAGAAAGCAGGGAAGGAAGUGAAGGCAGAGUGAAAAUGCAAACUGCAAUUUGGCUGAAACGAUAUAUACUCCAUUUUCUUUCUUCUAUUCCUACCUGCUGCUCAAGUAAUUGUAUGUAACUUCCUUCAUUUAUCUGAGUUUACAUGGGAAUGCUGCCUUCUCCACCCUUAUAGUAUUGCCUUGUACUGAAAUAAGAAAAUGGUAUUUUACUGCCAUGUAUGUCCUGCAAAUGUUGCUUGAUCAGUAGCAUACUUACGGCUCUGCUUUCUUCUAAUUUUAUGGGAUAUCGUUAGAAACAGCAGAUCUGCUUGUAUAGCUACAUUUUCCUGAGAAAUAAAUGAUAAAAUUCAUGGGGGUCUACUUCACUAUCCAA